This 250-nucleotide ribosomal RNA is filed under the name uncultured archaeon. RNAcentral describes it as "partial 16S ribosomal RNA". It matches the Rfam family "Bacterial small subunit ribosomal RNA", at positions 524 to 774 of the family's 1533-position model. The record is from RNAcentral.
UACAUAGGGGGCAAGCGUUAUCCGGAAUUAUUGGGCGUAAAGGGUGCGUAGGUGGCCCGUUAAGUCUUUGGUGUAAGUGCAGCGCUCAACGCUGUGAUGCUAAAGAAACUGGCGGGCUUGAGUGUGGUAGAGGCAAGUGGAAUUCCAUGUGUAGCGGUAAAAUGCGUAAAUAUAUGGAGGAACACCGGUGGCGAAGGCGGCUUGCUGGGCCACAACUGACACUGAGGCACGAAAGCGUGGGGAGCAAACA